AACGAACGCUGGCGGCGCGCCUAAUACAUGCAAGUCGAGCGAGAAGACGUAGCAAUACGUUUGUAAAGCGGCGAACGGGUGAGGAAUACAUGGGUAACCUACCCUCGAGUGGGGAAUAACUAGCCGAAAGGUUAGCUAAUACCGCGUACGCUCCUUGGACUUCGGUUCAGGGAGGAAAGCGAUACCGUGGGUAUCGCGCUCUUGGAUGGGCUCAUGUCCUAUCAGCUUGUUGGUGAGGAACGGCUCACCAAGGCUUCGACGGGUGGCUGGUCUGAGAGGACGAUCAGCCACACUGGCACUGCGACACGGGCCAGACUCCUACGGGAGGCAGCAGUAAGGAAUAUUGCGCAAUGGGCGAAAGCCUGACGCAGCGACGCCGCGUGGGGGAUGAAGGUCUUCGGAUUGUAAACCCCUUUCGGGAGGGAAGAUGGAAUGGGGUAACCCAUUCGGACGGUACCUCCAGAGCAGCCACGGCUAACUUCGUGCCAGCAGCCGCAGUAAG
This 502-nucleotide ribosomal RNA is filed under the name uncultured bacterium. Its description in RNAcentral is "bacterial SSU rRNA". It matches the Rfam family "Bacterial small subunit ribosomal RNA", at positions 29 to 524 of the family's 1533-position model. The record is from RNAcentral.